GGAGUUAUGAAAUGUAAGUGCGCUAAUAUCGCAUUUAUUUGACAAAGGCUCCAAAGGAAGCCACGGCUAACUCUGUGCCAGCAGCCGCGGUAAUACAGAGGUGGCAAGCGUUGUUCGGAAUUAUUGGGCGUAAAGAGCACGUAGGUGGGUUUGUAAGUCAGAUGUGAAAGCCUUCUGUUCAACGGAAGAAUUGCAUCUGAAACUGUGAAUCUUGAGUGUAGGAGGGGAGAGUGGAACUUCUGGU
This 244-nucleotide ribosomal RNA is filed under the name uncultured anaerobic ammonium-oxidizing bacterium. RNAcentral's name for it is "partial 16S ribosomal RNA". It matches the Rfam family "Bacterial small subunit ribosomal RNA", at positions 439 to 674 of the family's 1533-position model. The record is from RNAcentral.